GAUGAACGCUGGCGGCGUGCCUAAUACAUGCAAGUCGAGCGAACAGACGAGGAGCUUGCUCCUCUGACGUUAGCGGCGGACGGGUGAGUAACACGUGGAUAACCUACCUAUAAGACUGGGAUAACUUCGGGAAACCGGAGCUAAUACCGGAUAAUAUAUUGAACCGCAUGGUUCAAUAGUGAAAGACGGUUUUGCCGUCACUUAUAGACGGAUCCGCGCCGCAUUAGCUAGUUGGUAAGGUAACGGCUUACCAAGGCAACGAUGCGUAGCCGACCUGAGAGGGUGAUCGGCCACACUGGAACUGAGACACGGUCCAGACUCCUACGGGAGGCAGCAGUAGGGAAUCUUCCGCAAUGGGCGAAAGCUUGACGGAGCAACGCCGCGUGAGUGAUGAAGGUCUUCGGAUCGUAAAACUCUGUUAUUAGGGAAGAACAAAUGUGUAAGUAACUGUGCACGUCUUGACGGUACCUAAUCAGAAAGCCACGGCUAACUACGUG
This 497-nucleotide ribosomal RNA is filed under the name uncultured bacterium. Its description in RNAcentral is "partial 16S ribosomal RNA". It matches the Rfam family "Bacterial small subunit ribosomal RNA", at positions 28 to 507 of the family's 1533-position model. The record is from RNAcentral.